This 76-nucleotide transfer RNA is filed under the name Candidatus Formimonas warabiya. RNAcentral's name for it is "Peptococcaceae bacterium DCMF tRNA-Lys". It matches the Rfam family "tRNA". From Rfam's summary of the family: Transfer RNA (tRNA) molecules are approximately 80 nucleotides in length. Their secondary structure includes four short double-helical elements and three loops (D, anti-codon, and T loops). Lineage: Bacteria; Bacillati; Bacillota; Clostridia; Eubacteriales; Peptococcaceae. The record is from RNAcentral.
GGGCCAUUAGCUCAGUUGGUAGAGCACCUGACUCUUAAUCAGGGUGUCCACGGUUCGAGCCCGUGAUGGCCCACCA